Eriocheir sinensis (Chinese mitten crab) is the source of this 1399-nucleotide long non-coding RNA. RefSeq lists it as uncharacterized. The transcript has 2 exons. The record is from RefSeq and is a predicted model, not a curated record. Lineage: Eukaryota; Metazoa; Arthropoda; Malacostraca; Decapoda; Varunidae.
UGUAAGGAAGUUGGAGAAUAAUUGUAAUUCCUUCCUGUCUGAAAUCCACUUCUGAGAGACUUAUUGUAACUCUUGCCCUCAACUUCUUGUUAUGACAUGUGUGAGGCUGAAGGGAGAGGAAAAUUGUAAAUCUUGCCCCUCAACUUCUUUUUGUUAUGUUACGAGGUCCAAAAACUACUUCUGAGAGACUUAUCGUAACUCUUACCCUCGACUUCUUAUUGCGAGGUCUGAAAAUGACAUGUGGGAGGGGAAUCGUAAAUCAUGCUCCGACUUCUUUCUGUUACGUUACGAGGUCCAAAAACUACUACUGAGAGACUUAUCGUAACUCUUGCUCUCGACUUCUUAUUGCGAGGUCUGAAAAUGACGUGGGAGGGGAAUCGUAAAUCUUGCUCCGACUUCUUUCUGUUACGUUACGAGGUCCAAAAACUACUUCUGCGUGAGGCUUCGAGUAACACAGCCCACCACGUGCCAGGCAGGGAACACACGCUUGCCAAUUUCCUUUUAAGACGCCAACUUUCGCUUCUUUGCAACUAUUUUUGUCGUGUGAAUCCCGAGGGUCUGACAAUCCUGGAGACAGAGGAGGACCAGAUUCUUAAACAUCUCCAUUCAGUGCCCAGAAACCAUGUAAAACUAUCACUAGCAACUUCUACAAGAGUUUUUUCAGACAGGAACUGCGGCGCCGAGAUGUUUAAGAAUACUGUACUAGAGAACCACAGUAACACCUCUGUUUUGUGUAUUCUUAAACAUUUCCGGUCAGUCCCCAGAAGCCAUGUAAAACUAUCGCUAACAACUUCUACGAGAGGCUUUUCAGACAGGGGAACUGCGAUGCUGAGAUGUAUAAGAAUACUGUCUACUAGAGAACCACAGUAAUACCUCUGUUUUGCAUAUUCUUAAACAUCUCCAUUCAAUGCCCAGAAGCCAUGUAAAACUAUCACUAACAACUUCUACGAGAGGCUUUUCAGAUGGAAACUGCUGCGCCAUGAUGUUUAAAAAUACUGUCUACUAGAGUACCACAGUGAUACCUCUAUUUUGCAUAUUUUUAAACAUCUCCAUUCAGUGUGUAGAAGCCAUGUAAAACUAUCACUAACAACUUCUACAAGAGGCUUUUCAGAGAAGGGAACUGCAGCGCCGAGAUGUUUAAGAAUACUGGCUACUAGAGCACCAGAGUAAUGCCUUUGUUAGGGAUGAAGUACCGGCAUCUCGAGUGCUGCUAAAAUCUCCUCUUCUUCGCUGUGUCCGUCGGUUAGCGGCUGUGUUGCGAGGAGCCCCGCCCCGUGCAUAUCAGGCUUAGGGAAGGGACGUUCGGGAAGGGAGAGUUUCCGUGGAGGUUUGUUGUACAUAUUGUGCGUUACCACAUGAGUACAUUGUUGAUUGGACAAUAAAUUAUAGCCCAGCAAAA